Molecule: long non-coding RNA, 331 nt
Filed under: Dasypus novemcinctus (nine-banded armadillo)
Lineage: Eukaryota; Metazoa; Chordata; Mammalia; Cingulata; Dasypodidae
Description: lncRNA (ENSDNOG00000049932.1)
Source: RNAcentral
CAAACAGCUUUGAGUCAACAGUGCCUCUCCAUCUCUCUUUACAGGGGCCCAAGAUGGGUCGUCGAGCUCAACAGGAAUCAACUCAGGUCGAGAAUCCUCUCAUUGGCAAGAAUUCCUCUUUGACUCUGACUGGAGAGCUUCUAGAGCAAAGAGAAGAAAGCAGAGGAUCCCAGCUCUGAGAGUCUAGUGCAGAGGUCUCAAACCUUCUUAAUUUGUCAGGGCUGCUGUAACAAAUACUACACACUGCUUGGCUUGAACAAAAGGAAUUUAUUGUCUCACAGUUUUGGAGGCCAGAAGUCCAAAAUCAAAGGGUCAGUAGGAUUGUGCUUUC